AGGCCGAACGCUGGCGGCGUGCUUCACACAUGCAAGUCGAACGGGGCUCAUUCGGUGGUAACACCGGAGAAGGCCUAGUGGCGAACGGGUGCGUAACACGUGAAGAACCUGCCCCGAAGACUGGGAUAACAGCGGGAAACCGCUGCUAAUACCGGAUGACCCCACCAGGCCGCAUGGCCAGGUGAGGAAAUGGGCCUACCGCUUCGGGAGGGCUUCGCGGCCUAUCAGCUUGUUGGUGGGUAACGGCCUACCAAGGCUACGACGGGUAGCUGGUCUGAGAGGACGACCAGCCACACUGGGACUGAGACACGGCCCAGACUCCUACGGGAGGCAGCAGUGGGGAAUCUUGCGCAAUGGGCGAAAGCCUGACGCAGCAACGCCGCGUGAGGGAUGAAGGUCUUCGGGUUGUAAACCUCUUUCGAGCAGGGACGAUUGUGACGGUACCUGCAGAAGAAGCUCCGGCCAACUACGCGCCAGCAGCCGCGGU
RNAcentral lists this ribosomal RNA (487 nucleotides) under uncultured bacterium. RNAcentral describes it as "SSU rRNA". It matches the Rfam family "Bacterial small subunit ribosomal RNA", at positions 26 to 521 of the family's 1533-position model. The record is from RNAcentral.